Non-coding RNA from Schistosoma mansoni, 37 nucleotides. Lineage: Eukaryota; Metazoa; Platyhelminthes; Trematoda; Strigeidida; Schistosomatidae. The record is from Rfam.
AUCGAGUCCCAAAUAGGACGAAACGCGCGUCCUGGAU